UACGUAGGGGGCAAGCGUUAUCCGGAUUUACUGGGUGUAAAGGGAGCGUAGACGGCCAGACAAGUCUGAAGUGAAAAUCCAGCGCUUAACGUUGGAAGUGCUUUGGAAACUGCCGGGCUGGAGUGCAGGAGGGGCAGGCGGAAUUCCUAGUGUAGCGGUGAAAUGCGUAGAUAUUAGGAGGAACACCAGUGGCGAAGGCGGCCUGCUGGACUGCAACUGACGUUGAGGCUCGAAGGCGUGGGGAGCAAACAGG
Molecule: ribosomal RNA, 253 nt
Filed under: uncultured bacterium
Lineage: Bacteria
Description: partial 16S ribosomal RNA
Rfam family: Bacterial small subunit ribosomal RNA
Source: RNAcentral